RNAcentral lists this transfer RNA (64 nucleotides) under Telmatherina celebensis (Celebes rainbow). RNAcentral's name for it is "tRNA-Cys". Lineage: Eukaryota; Metazoa; Chordata; Actinopteri; Atheriniformes; Telmatherinidae. The record is from RNAcentral.
AGCCCUGGGGUGUUACAUGUCAGAUUGCAAAUCUGAAGAGGCAGACUAAUCCCUGCCGGGGCUU